GACGAACGCUGGCGGCGUGCUUAACACAUGCAAGUCGAACGGAAAGGCCCUGCUUUUGUGGGGUGCUCGAGUGGCGAACGGGUGAGUAACACGUGAGUAACCUGCCCUUGACUUUGGGAUAACUUCAGGAAACUGGGGCUAAUACCGGAUAGGAGCUCCUGCUGCAUGGUGGGGGUUGGAAAGUUUCGGCGGUUGGGGAUGGACUCGCGGCUUAUCAGCUUGUUGGUGGGGUAGUGGCUUACCAAGGCUUUGACGGGUAGCCGGCCUGAGAGGGUGACCGGCCACAUUGGGACUGAGAUACGGCCCAGACGCCUACGGGAGGCAGCAGUGGGGAAUAUUGCAGAAUGGGGGGAAGCCUGAUGCAGCAACGCCGCGUGCGGGAUGACGGCCUUCGGGUUGUAAACCGCUUUCGCCGGUGACGAAGCGUGAGUGACGGUAAUGGGUAAAGAAGCACCGGCUAACUACGUG
RNAcentral lists this ribosomal RNA (468 nucleotides) under uncultured bacterium. RNAcentral's name for it is "partial 16S ribosomal RNA". It matches the Rfam family "Bacterial small subunit ribosomal RNA", at positions 28 to 507 of the family's 1533-position model. The record is from RNAcentral.